Molecule: transfer RNA, 76 nt
Filed under: Saccharomonospora viridis DSM 43017
Lineage: Bacteria; Bacillati; Actinomycetota; Actinomycetes; Pseudonocardiales; Pseudonocardiaceae
Description: tRNA-Arg
Rfam family: tRNA
About the family: Transfer RNA (tRNA) molecules are approximately 80 nucleotides in length. Their secondary structure includes four short double-helical elements and three loops (D, anti-codon, and T loops).
Source: RNAcentral
GCCCCCGUAGCUCAGGGGAUAGAGCACCGCUCUCCUAAAGCGGGUGUCAGAGGUUCGAAUCCUCUCGGGGGCGCCC